GAUGAAGAACGUAGCGAAAUGCGAUAAUUAAUGUGAAUUGCAGAAUUCAGUGAAUCAUCGAGUCUUUGAACGCACAUUGCGCCCCCUGGUAUUCCGGGGGGCAUGCCUGUCCGAGCGUCAUUGCUGCCCUCAAGCCCGGCUUGUGUGUUGGGCCCUGCUCCCCCGGGGGCAGGCCCGAAAGGCAGUGGCGGCACCGCGUCCGAUCCUCGAGCGUAUGGGGCUUUGUCACCCGCUCUGUAGGCCCGGCCGGCGCUUGCCGACCCCCAUCAAUCUUUUUUCAGGUUGACCUCAGGUCAGGCGGGGCUACCCGCUGAGUUUAAGCAUAUCAAUAAGCGGAGGA
Molecule: unclassified non-coding RNA, 340 nt
Filed under: soil metagenome
Description: partial contains 5.8S ribosomal RNA, internal transcribed spacer 2, and large subunit ribosomal RNA
Rfam family: 5.8S ribosomal RNA (bases 1-120)
Source: RNAcentral